UUGCUCUUCAACGAGGAAUUCCUAGUAAGCGUGAGUCAUCAGCUCGCGUUGAUUACGUCCCUGCCCUUUGUACACACCGCCCGUCGCUACUACCGAUUGAAUGGCUUAGUGAGGCCUCCGGAUCGGCGUUGGGGAGCCGGCGACGGCACUCUGAUGCUGAGAAGCUGGUCAAACUUGGUCAUUUAGAGGAAGUAAAAGUCGUAACAAGGUUUCCGUAGGUGAACCUGCGGAAGGAUCAAUACCGAGUUCUUGAAGUGGGUCUUUGAGCUGGCUUACAUGGCACUGUGCUCGGGCCCCGCUCCAUCCACUCAACCCCUGUGCACUUUCGAUUGUAGUGUGCGGAGGGGACCGUCUUAACGGGUGGUUCUCGUCGAUGCCAUUACAUUCGUCUUAUCACAAACUCUUGACAUGUAAUUGUAGAACGUUGAAGCCUUUACAGGCGGAAACUCAAAUACAACUUUCAACAACGGAUCUCUUGGCUCUCGCAUCGAUGAAGAACGCAGCGAAAUGCGAUAAGUAAUGUGAAUUGCAGAAUUCAGUGAAUCAUCGAAUCUUUGAACGCACCUUGCACUCCUUGGUAUUCCGAGGAGUAUGCCUGUUUGAGUGUCAUGAAAUCAUCAACCACUUUGGCUUUGUUGUCGAAGAUGGCUUGGACUUGGGGAUAUAUGCUGGUCUGUUUCAUUACGGAUCGGCUUCCCUUGAAUGUAUUAGUGCGGGGUGCCUUACCGCCGAGAAGUGUGAUAGUCUAUCUUCACUGAUCGGCGGGGGGCUGUGUUAACCCGGGCUUCUAACCGUCGUAAUGGACAAUACACCUUGACAUUUGACCUCAAAUCAGGUAGGACUACCCGCUGAACUUAAGCAUAUCAAUAAGCGGAGGA
RNAcentral lists this ribosomal RNA (878 nucleotides) under uncultured fungus. RNAcentral describes it as "eukaryotic LSU rRNA". The stretch from base 1 to 241 matches the Rfam family "Eukaryotic small subunit ribosomal RNA", at positions 1593 to 1831 of the family's 1831-position model. The record is from RNAcentral. Lineage: Eukaryota; Fungi.